RNAcentral lists this ribosomal RNA (253 nucleotides) under uncultured bacterium. RNAcentral describes it as "partial 16S ribosomal RNA". It matches the Rfam family "Bacterial small subunit ribosomal RNA", at positions 524 to 776 of the family's 1533-position model. The record is from RNAcentral.
UACGUAGGGUGCGAGCGUUGUCCGGAAUUAUUGGGCGUAAAGGGCUCGUAGGCGGUCUGUCGCGUCGGGAGUGAAAACUCAGGGCUUAACCCUGAGCCUGCUCCCGAUACGGGCAGACUAGAGGUAUGCAGGGGAGAACGGAAUUCCUGGUGUAGCGGUGAAAUGCGCAGAUAUCAGGAGGAACACCGGUGGCGAAGGCGGUUCUCUGGGCAUUACCUGACGCUGAGGAGCGAAAGUGUGGGGAGCAAACAGG